CCGCGGUGAAUACGUUCCCGGGUCUUGUACACACCGCCCGUCACACCACGAGAGUUUGUAACACCCGAAGCCGGUGAGGUAACCUUUUAGGAGCCAGCCGUCUAAGGUGGGAUAGAUAAUUGGGGUGAAGUCGUAACAAGGUAGCCGUAUCGGAAGGUGCGGCUGGAUCACCUCCUUU
RNAcentral lists this ribosomal RNA (178 nucleotides) under Carnobacterium divergens. RNAcentral's name for it is "partial 16S ribosomal RNA". It matches the Rfam family "Bacterial small subunit ribosomal RNA", at positions 1357 to 1533 of the family's 1533-position model. Lineage: Bacteria; Bacillati; Bacillota; Bacilli; Lactobacillales; Carnobacteriaceae. RNAcentral also lists the same sequence under 1 other name. The record is from RNAcentral.